RNAcentral lists this long non-coding RNA (3984 nucleotides) under Canis lupus familiaris (dog). RNAcentral describes it as "lncRNA (ENSCAFG00000057193.1)". The record is from RNAcentral. Lineage: Eukaryota; Metazoa; Chordata; Mammalia; Carnivora; Canidae.
AGGAAAUGUGUGUUUCUAAUUUUAAUUAAUAUUAACAAAUUGCUUUCCAAAAAGGCUGCACAAUUCAUAUUUCCAUUAACAAUGAAUGUUUGAGAGUGCUAUCUCCUCAUCUUUAUAAAUUAAUACAAGUCUUAUCUGAGAGUCCGUGUGAUCCUCUCUUUACCACUUAAGUUUGCAUUUCCAUGACUACGGCAAAGGCUGAGGAUCUCUUAAAACAUAAAGUGAUCAUUUGGAUUGCUCUUAUGUGAAUUGCCGGUCCCUGUUUUUUGCUCACAUUUAUAUUUGGGUUUUUUUUUUCUAACCAAUUUGUAACAGUAAUAUGCAUAUUACUGUGGUCGGCAGGCUUCCAAAGUGAUUCCCAGGGGCUCGCGUCCUGGGGUGCUCAUGCCCGCGUAUAAUCCCCUCUUCUGAGCAUGGACUGAAUCCUGGUGACUUUCUUCUAAAGACCAGUAUACAGCAAAAGCGAUGAGCUAUCACUUCUCUGAUUGGGUGUUAAAGACGAUGACCUCUAUUUUGCUGGUAUUCUCUCUGUGGCUUUUGUCACAUGUUUUCUCUAAUGGUGGAGGCUAAGUGGCCUGGAGCCAAAGUAACCUCUGUCCGCAGCCCAUGAGGAAUGGAGAUUCUUAUUCCAAAGUCCUCAGGAAAUGAAUCCUGCAAAACAUCAUAAGAUUGGAAGCAGAUGCUCCCGAAUCAAGCCUUCAGAUGAACCUGUAGCCCGGCUCACAUCUCAGUUGCAGCCUGUGGAAGACCCGGAGGCAGGGCACCCUGUUAAUUGGUGCCUGCAUUCCUGACCCCCAGAAACUGAAAGGACUAAGUGUCUGUUGUUCCAAAAUGCCAAGUUUUGGGGUUAUGCUGCAGAAUGAGAUAAGUAAUACGAUUAUAUAUGCCAGAUUUUCAUCUGGAUCAUGUAUUACAAAAAUUUUUUCCUGCUUUUUAUUUUUUUUUCCUUGACUUUGUUUAUGGUAUCUUUCUCCAUACAGGAUUUUAAAUUUUUAUAUAACUGAAUAUGUCUGUAUUUUCUUAGAUGGCUUUUAGAUUUGAAGAACUGUAUAUAAGUGUCUCUCCAAUACCUAUGUAGUAUCUAGAGUCUCUUAAACAAUUUUCUAAUAUAUCUAGUAUUUUAUUUUUAAAUUUAAUUCAAUUUUAAAAUUUUAAUUCCAGCAUAGUUAGCAUACAGUGUUAUAUUAAUUUUAGGUGUACAGUAUAGUGAUUCAACAAUUUCAUAUAUUACUCAGUGCUCAUCAUGAGGACUUGGACUCCUAAUCUCCAUCACCUAUUUCACCCAUCUCCACUGCUCCCCUCUGGUGACCAGCAGUUUGUUCUCUGUAGUUAAGAGUCUGUUUCUUGGUUUGUCUCUUUUUUCCUUUGCUCAUUUGUUCUGUUACUUAAAUUCCACACAUGAGUGAAAUAAUAUGGUAUUCAUAGUUCUCUUAACUUAUUUCACUUAACAUUAUACCCUCUAGCUCCAUCCAUGUUGUUGCAAAUGGCAAGAUUCCAUUCUUUUCUAUGGCUGACUAAUAGUCCACUGUGUAUAUACACCACGGUUUUAUCCAUUCAUCUAUCAGUGGACACUUGGACUGCUUCCAUAUCUUGGCUAUUGUAAAUAAUGCUGCAAUAAACAUAGGGGUGUGCAUAUCCUUUUGAAUUAGUGUUUUUGUAUUCUUUGGGUGAAUACCCAGUAGUGUGAUAACUGGAUCAUAUGGUAGUUCUAUUUUUAACUUUUUGAGGAACCUCCAUACCUUUAAUAUUUGCCUUUGACUUAAAAUUUCAAAACAUCAUUCAGGGAAAAUAUAUUAGAAGGUCAACCUCAAGAUCUUUUCUUCCUAAAUCUCCAUUUUUUAAAAAAUUAGGAGUAACACUGAUUUUGUUGUUGAUUGACUACUGAAUAUGUUCCCUACUCAUGGCAGAGUCUGAAUCUGUUAAACAGAUUCCUCAUUCUAGGAUUGCAAAACAUUUUUCUUCUAGAAAGAUAAAACCAACUGAAAUAAUCCUAGAAGAAAGGAGUGAGCAGGAAUUUGAAAUGUUUAUAAGAUUCCAAAAGAAAACCCUUUUAUUCUUAGAUCAUAAUACUAUUUCUUUAUCUCACAAAUAUUUGUUAAGUGCAUUCCACGUGGCGGGCAUUGUACUUAGUCCUGGAGAUAAAGGGGUAGAGAAGACAGGCAGACAUGUCUACACCUUCAUGGAAUUUAGGAACAGGCAUUAAUCCAGUUAUUACAAAUGUAGUGAGUGUUAUGAGAGGGAUAUGCAGUGACAGCAUAUGGCAGGGAAUUCCAACAAAGACUGUGAUGAAGAAGAGACAUUUAGGCUGAGAGACGAAGGGUGAGUGACUUAGUCACUUUUAAGGUGAGAGCAAGCAUGGCACAAUUGAGGAACUGAACAGGAAAGAUUGAUAGGCUAGAGCCCCAGGCAUAAGUGAGCUGCGAGGGCUAAGGGUGGUAAGACUGCAGAGCCCCAGGUGGUCGAGAACCCACACACCGUAUCAUGAAUCAAGAUAUUAUUGUAGAGAAACAGAAAGCAAUAGAAGGAUUUCAAGACUGAGAGUGUUUUGACAAGGUCUGUAUUUUAGGAAAGUUACUCUACUCAUAGUUCAGAGAAUGGAUUGGAACAGGAAUAAAAUCAAGGGGUUCACUUAGAAGGCUGAAUAAGUCAAGUUUCAGAAUUACAACAACUUUAGCUAAUUUAAGAAUUUUGCCUAGGGACUCCUUCCUGGGUGGCUCAGUGGUUGAGUGCCUGCCUUUGACUCAGGGCAUGAUCCUGGGAUCUAGGAUUGAGCCCCACUUUGGGCUCCCUGCAGGGAGCCUGCUUCUCCUGUCUGUGUCUCUGCCUCUCUCUCUGUGUCUCUCAUGAAUAAAUAAAUAAAAUCUUUUAAAAAAUUUUUUUGGCUGGGAAAGUGUGAUAAUAUGAUACUGGGCAGAGAAUGUGGGGUCAGAGGAGGGUUUUUUUUUUUAUUUGAUUUUCAGUUUUGUUUGAUUUUGCCAUAGGAAAGGCUUGAGUAUGACAGAAACAGCUAGUCGAUAAUAAGUGCCAGAAGAUACAUAAAAGGAGGAGGCAAAUCCAAAUUGACAUAGGCUAAGAAUCUGAGUUCCCAACAAGACGAUAUUCUUCAAAUAUGCGGCUAAGACUUAUUUAAUGAAGAACUGACCUUUAAUGUAAAAGAAAUGGCAUACUUUUUGUUCAAGAUAAGGAAUCUAUUUUAGAUGUUAAACAUAUAUCAUGUAACUUACUUAAAACUGUCUUACAUUUGAGGUUUUUUAAAAAGCUUUAUUUAUUUACUCAUUCAUGAUAGACUGAGAGAGAGGGAGAGAGAGAGGCAGAGACACAGGCAGAGGGAAGCAGGCUCCACGCGGGGAGCCCAACACGGGACUCGAUCCUGGGACUCCAGGAUUGUGCCCUGGGCCGAAGGCAGGCGCCAAACCGCUGAGCCACCCAGGGAUCCCCUUACAUUUCAGUUUUUAUACUCAAAACUGGUCAUUUGGUAAUUCUAACUAAGAAUGGAAGUAAAGUAAGCAUGUUAGCUACAGGUUUUGUUCAAGAUACAUUUUAAAAUCCUUUUUCCUGGCUUUCACGUAGGCAGAAAGCUUCCCAGUUAUUCUCUAGUUCUUUCUAUUGUGAUUUUUAAAAUCUGUUAGCAUCUUUAGCUGCAUUUAUCAGGUGAUAAGUCACCCUUUCCUAAGAAACAGCAUUACUCUCCAUGUAAUGGUUGGCUGUGGCUUAGGUUAGCAUUGGGUUACAAGGUCCAAGAGCAAAGUGAUAAUCAUAUUUUUUCAAGGUAACGCUUGAGAAUCCUUUACAUCAAGUAGAGUAGAAUGUGUGUGGUUUGGUAUAUAUACUUCUCUCUGGCAAUAUGCAAAUAUACACGUGUAAAAUACAUAGUAAUCUAGAGGACAUAAUAAGGUAUGUAUGUGAAAAAUAUAAUUCUAUCAUGUUUUUAAUUAUGGGGUAGCAAGAUAAGGAGAACAGAAGCAUUAAAAAAAAAAAAAAAAA